Triticum aestivum (bread wheat) is the source of this 2291-nucleotide long non-coding RNA. RefSeq lists it as uncharacterized. The record is from RefSeq and is a predicted model, not a curated record. NCBI's taxonomy places the organism in Eukaryota, Viridiplantae, Streptophyta, Magnoliopsida, Poales, Poaceae. The transcript is spliced from 10 exons.
CAUAAGAUACUGCAAUGUUGGUAUGCAUGCUAACUUCUGUAUGUUUUGUAUCAGCCAUGUUGCAUUGUAUCAGCUAUAUAAACAGUUCAUGAGGAAUGCCAAUGGGGCUGUCAUAUGUAUUUUAUAUUGUUUUAAUCUUCACCAAUUUACUUCGUUAGUUGCAAAAGGUAUCAUGAGAUUUAAUUGAUGAUACUCAUCAUAAGACUAAAGAGUAGAUGUGAUACAUAGUUGUAGUACACGUGUAGUCAGACUGCAUAUUUACACAAGUUUUUUUUUGGUUACUUGCAAAAUACUCUCUAUAAGCAAUUUGUUUAAUGUGGCCCUGUUUGGCAAUUGUAGCAUGUUAUGUGUAGGCAUAUGGGUAAUACUGAUAAUAUUACAUAUAAAUUCAUUUACUAUAAACUAACCAUCAGGGGUGCUUUACAUGUCAUGACACAUUGACAUCUUACAAGCAUAAUUUGUCCAAACAAUUGUAGUAGCUCGGCAUUCGGGUUUUGCACAGUAGCUUUGCAAGCAUAUUACUACUCAUGAAAGAAUCUACGAAAGCCGCUGAAGUACGUACGAGUAGAUCGGUGCAACUUCGCCCACAUCCUUUUUUCUUGAUAAGGCAUGGUCGAGGUGGUGGUGAGAUCUGGAGCUCCUGCCACGUGCUCGCUUGCUUCAGAAUAAUCCUGCCAGGGGCACCAUUUUUCUUCCUCCCAAGAAACAUAUCUGAUCCUGGAGAAUUCUUCCAGAAGCAGCAAUGUUCCACAGGGAUAUGAUAUCUCUCUCCACCACCUGUGCUCUGCAGCAGCAGCUGCUAUGUUUAUCUUCAUUGUUUACUUCAAGUCUGCAAUGCCUGUUGUUAACUCUUAUAACUAGAUUCAUUUGCUGCUCUUGGAACGAAAGGAGAAGAGAAGGACAGCCUGAGAUUCCAAUCCGAAUUAAUUUGACUUUAGAAUGAGACCCUGGAAAAUGAAUGGCUUCAAUGGUGGGUGCAUGUAUGGUCAGGGGAUUGUUUGGUCCAUGCAUGGAAGUGGACUGAUUAGCCCCAUUAUGAGAAGGCUGUGAGACUUUUCAAUGAUCCAGAUGUUGCACAUCCUGGGAGAAUAUUGAUGGCUAGGGUUGAUUGUGCAUCAGAGGACAGGUUGUGUGCUUAGGGAGGCGGCAAGGCCCAAGGAAUCUUGCGCAUAAAACAAUAUAAUGACCAAGAAGAGCAUGUGAGGGACCAGUAGGUGUUUAUCCCGAGUGAUUUCAGUGUUUGUCAAGUCUCAUUAAGCUUGCCACCUUGCUUUUUCUUGAGCACAUAGCAACUGAAGAAGAGAUGAAGGCAACUGAACAACGUGCUCGCAAAGUGAAGGGUUCUUGCAAGAAGAAAGAAUCGUUGUCAUCUUAUUUUCAUGAUGGCAUGGUGUCUCGACAUGUGAUGGAUUCACUCACACGGAGGAAGCUUUUCUCCGCUACUCCGGCGACAAGCGCACAAGCUUUUGGGUCCAUGGCGCCACCGGUAAACAAGAACAACUCUGGGUGCUUGAUUGUGUCUCUGGAGUCUGGAUAAGUGAAAAUAGAUGGCAGCGAAGUUGAACUGGUUUUGCAAACACUAGCAAGUAUUUCUUCAUCGCUUCCAUCGUGCAAUUGAUUCUGCGCAGGUUGCGCUAGCAUUGCGGGCAUUUUUCUUCAUAUUUGUGAAGAGGGGAUGAGGUUGAAAAAUGAAGCUGGUGAUGAAAAGAAUGGAGGGCACCCGCAAAGUGAUGACGAGGAAGGAGCCCUGCAGGAGACAGCUUUCAGAGCUUGAAGAAGAUGGUCUCACAUCCACGUUGAUCUAUGAAAAUAGCAAGCGACGGCGGCGAUGGACUGGUCACCCCGCAACACCAUUCUUCCUUCACGGUAACUAGCCACGGCAAGUGCUUCUGUCAUUUCUUUCGUGUUGAGAAGGCAGAGUCAAGGGCGCGAACAUGAGGUAUUCUGUGACUUUCUUCGGAGAGGCACGAAAGUGCAAAGGUCGUGAUGUGUAACGAUUUAAUCAAGGAGACAACCCAGUCGAGCUAUCAAGUAUUAGGCUACCUAACUAAGAAGUUUUAUUAUCUCGCAUUGCAUCUUGCUUGAUCAACACAUGCCAUGACCUGGUUAUUGUAUUUGUUAUAUUACAAUGGAUAGUCUUGGCUUGCUUUUGGACUAAAGCCUUUUGGUCUAUGUAUAGCUUGAUUUUGGACUUUAGCCUUUUGUUGUUUCGUGAACCCAUUGCUAUGUGCUGAAUGUGUAUGUAUCGAUGCAAUGAUUCUGAUAUAAAAUUAAUAUACUCCCUCUGUUUC